Molecule: long non-coding RNA, 2121 nt
Organism: Syngnathoides biaculeatus (alligator pipefish)
Lineage: Eukaryota; Metazoa; Chordata; Actinopteri; Syngnathiformes; Syngnathidae
Exons: 3
Source: RefSeq, a predicted model, not a curated record
UGGGACUUCGACGAAUCGACGGGAAGCGAGGGGGCGGGGUUGAAAGUCUGGGAGUGGUCGUCAUCCGCGCUCAAAUGCACGCUUACGUCAACACGCCACAAAAAAGACGAGAAAACUAUCGGAUUAAGAAUGAUGUAGUAUUUAAAAUUCGACGUAUUUAUACUUUACGUCCAGUAUGUGCAAAAAAGUACAGUGCACAAUAAUGGCUAAUAUGUGAACUACAGAGUUUGUGGUACGUUGGAUAACUCGUUGCUGCAAAAACGUUAACUGUUGCUUUGAGAAACAAAUAUCAAAUGUGAAUUUGAAUUCCCCCCCGCACAAAUAUUUAGUUGAGCUCAUGUCACAACUCCAGUACGACGGAACAUCUCUGUGGCGCCAACAGGUGUCGCUCAAAUAUUAGAUCAUCAAGAAACAGAAAAAGACACCAGCGAGAUUGUGACGUAUUACACGGCCGACGUUGACGCUCUGCUCAGCCAAAACGUGAAAACUGCUGACACUUUUUUCUUUCAAAUUGCAAUAAUCACUGCGCAAAACCUUUUUUUUUUUUUUGACGCAAAACAUAAAAAAAAUAUUUACAUGCCACCAUAUACAAACAUAUAAAAAAAUAUUUCCAUGGCCGCCGAUGAGAAAGUCGGCGCGGGCGUGCGAGGCCGACGACGCCCGGUGUUGGGGACGCCCGCGCACUGCCGUGAAGUUGGCGUGUUGGUGAGCAGCGCCGUGCAGCGGGGACGUCGGACGACUUCAUGGGGAAAGGGUUGUGACGCCCCUGAGUCGGUGAGGCAUCUCUUGUGGGAGUGCAGUUCUGCCGUAGACCUGCGGGCGACAGCCGGCCACCUACAAUUCCGGACACACCGGCAAGGGGUGUCCUAAACGAGGAAUUUGUGCUCUCUGGGGUGAGCCAGUCGAGGUUUGCAAAGGAAGAGAUUGAGAUAAGAACAGAUUUUCUUUCUUUUAUACACUUUUAUUGUCUUAACAAGACUUUACAUUACAAUCAUCCAAAAAUAGAAAACACUUUUUACAUUUACAUUCGUUCAUGAUUUACAUAAACAUGAAGACUGUCUAGGCUUUAAAAGAAUCAAUAAGGCAAUAAAUAUGGCACGAAAAAGGCUCAAUUUUUUUCCACUGUGCAGACACGGAAUGAUCCCUAACGGAGUGAAACUCACCCCACACUCCCAAACAGCAGGCUCAGGGAACCUGUCACGUAUCCCAGCGACGGUCGCCGACGUUUUUCUCCUCUUUUACUCCUUCCUCUCCCAUAUCAUCAGGCAGCUCCUCCGGGUGAGCCAUGGAUGACUCUACUUUGUGCCUGUGGUGUUGUUCAGGGGAUGUAGCUCAGUGGUAGAGCGCGUGCUUCGCAUGUAUGAAGUCCUGGGUUCAAUCCCCAGCAUCUCCAUUCAGUCUUGUGAGUUUUUUUUUAAGCAUCACUAUUUUUCUUCUUUCCUUGCUUUUCUGAACUGUCUUCUCAUGCACCAUUCCUGGAGAUACUGCAAUACCAGGUUGAUGCUUGAAGUGGCUGGAGCAAGACCCACAUCCAUCUCCCAGUUCAAAAAUCAAUAUAACAUAUGGUUCCCAGAAAAGGAACGCGUGAAAUAUUAACUCCACUUGACCUUAGCCAAAAGGCCGAGAAGCGAUGUCAACUUGCCGCCGGCAUAUACGACCCGAUUGUCCAGCCGACAAGCCAAAGCUUUGGUGCCCCACAAAUUGACUCAUGACAAUCACUUGUGACUCACAUAUGACACGUCUUGCAAACAUCAAUCGAUCAACGGUUUACAAGAAAUGGCAACUGUGUCGUUUUCAACAUAUGAAGUGAUGGAUGGAUUGGUACUUUGUCAAGACGAAACAAAAGCACUUAUGGUUGCUUUCUCAGAGUUGUCAUUGACAUCAUUAGUGGGGGUGCACUUUUCCUGGAGGUACUGCAAUACCAGGCCGAUCCGUGGAGUAUUCCAUCUCCCUGUUCCAAAAAUCCAUAUAAUAUAUGGUCCCCGGAUAGGGGACGUAUCAGAUAUUAAACUGAUAAGAACAUGGUUUUUUGUUUUGUCCACUUUUAUUGUCUAAACAAGACUUUACAUUACAAACAUUUAAAAAGAGAAAAAACUUUUUACAUUUCAUUCAUAAUUUACA